This 1863-nucleotide long non-coding RNA is filed under the name Canis lupus familiaris (dog). RNAcentral describes it as "lncRNA (ENSCAFG00040019551.1)". The record is from RNAcentral. Lineage: Eukaryota; Metazoa; Chordata; Mammalia; Carnivora; Canidae.
GAAACCAGUGGUGCCAGGACAGGAUCCAGAAGGGCAGACCAGCCUGGGCCCCUCUCCUCUGGGAAGGAGGAGGGAAGUCCACUCACACUAGCCAUCCUGGAUGUCUGCUACCUGUGACUCAGCUUGGGCCAAGGGACAGGGAAGAUUCCAAAGCCCAAGAGGUUCAUUUCCCCAUCUCUUGGCACAGAAAUCGGUCCAGGCAAAUGCUGAGCCAGAUGCAGGAGCUGGCUUGCAUCCCUUCCCCAUAGUGACUAUAUCCCGGGGGAAAGCCUGAGGUCAGAGUUGUGAGGACAUUGUGUACAGUGCUGGCCUCCUGCCCGGCUGCCACGAUGCCAUGGGCAGUGUGGAUGGACAAAUACGUGGGGCUGGUUGGAUCCCAACUUGUCUCAGUGUGCUUGCUUAUUUGAGCAAGCUGACACUUUAAUCUCAGGACCUGGGGGGCUGAAGCCACAGUGUCAGGGAGGAGGCUUGGGUCUAGUACCUAUAGGUCAUGGGGGAAGAGAGGGGCCUGGGGACCUAUGGGUCAUGGGGUAGGGACUUAGGUCAGGGGAAUGUAUUAUCUUUACUUAUGUACACUCAGAGUUGACUUAGAUCUGUGUUUUAAAGUGUCAAAGGGUGAGGAAAGACGAGGUAAGAAGGCCAGAGCCAGGGGGCAGCUGGGCCAGGGGACAGUUGUGAGUGCCUGAGUGCCUCUGGGAUUCCCAGCCAGUCCUUCUGUGGGCCUUGCUCUCCAGGCUCAGAGCCUUAUGGGUAUUGCUGGCCUGUCCUUGCAGGGAGCCUGGAAGGGCAAAAGGAAGGGAAGGUCCAGUGGGCUGUCCAGGCUGCAUGAAGAUCUGCGAGCACACCUGCCCUCAGCUCCGCAAUCCCCAUUUGACAUCUGGCUGGGGACAGUCACAGACUCACAAGCUCCAAGAGGGCAAGAACAUGGAGCUAACUCGCCAGUGAUACCAGCUUCCAGAACAAUGUCUGCCUAUUCAAUGGGUAUGUAUUGUAUGUUGAAUGACUGAAUGAAGCAAACAAAUUUUAGGACUCCCUUUCCUGGGUACAUACUCUGCUUCCCAACCCUUCCUAGCUAAGCUGAGGUAAAAUGACCAUAUGCUGAAACGAGCACCUCCUAAGUGUUCAGUUUGAUGAUCUUGACAAUUGUAUAGACUCAGAUAACCAGCACCCAAAACAGGAUAUGGAACACAUCAGUGACUGACUCAAACCUUUCCCCUGGCCCAUAUCCCAGUCAAGUCCCCCUAUCCUGGGCAACACACUCUGACUUUUCUCACUGGAAGUGAGAUGUUCCCGUUACCAGAUUUCAUCUAAGGGGAUGGGCCAUUACGUCCUUUCGGCGGCUAGCUUCUUUGCUGUGCAUGUUUUUGAGAAUCAUCAUGUUGCUGCACGUACCUGCUGUCCAUUCUCUUCCAUUCUGAGUGUCCGGGCUGGAUGAAUGGUCCAUCAGUUGUUUAUCUGCUCACCUAUUGGCAGACUUUGGGAUGGUUCCCAUUUGGAGCAACACUGCAUGAAGCUGCGAUGGAUUUUCUUCUACAAGUCUUCUUGUGGACAUGGGUUACACUUCACUCGAGGAAAUCCCUAGGAGUAGAGUUACUGUUCCUUAGGAUAGAUGAAUGUUUGACAUUGUAGAAAACGCCAGACUCUUUUCCCGAGGGGUGGUACCAUUUCGUGCUCCCGCCAGCAAUGUAUGAGAGCUCUGGUUCUUCCACUUGCUCACCAACGUUGAGUCUCCUCAGUCUUUGUAAAUUCAGUCAUUCUAGUGAGGAUGUAGGGUUAUCCCACUGUAGCGUUUCUUUAAAAAAUAGUUUUAUUGAGAUACAAUUUGCAUACCAUACAGCUUACUCAUGUAAGUUGUACCACUGG